This 491-nucleotide ribosomal RNA is filed under the name uncultured bacterium. RNAcentral describes it as "partial 16S ribosomal RNA". It matches the Rfam family "Bacterial small subunit ribosomal RNA", at positions 29 to 506 of the family's 1533-position model. The record is from RNAcentral.
AGUGAACGCUGGCGGUAGGCCUAACACAUGCCAGUCGAACGGCAGCACAGUAAGAGCUUGCUCUUACGGGUGGCGAGUGGCGGACGGGUGAGGAAUACAUCGGAAUCUACUUUUUCGUGGGGGAUAACGUAGGGAAACUUACGCUAAUACCGCAUACGACCUACGGGUGAAAGCAGGGGAUCUUCGGACCUUGCGCGAUUGAAUGAGCCGAUGUCGGAUUAGCUAGUUGGCGGGGUAAAGGCCCACCAAGGCGACGAUCCGUAGCUGGUCUGAGAGGAUGAUCAGCCACACUGGAACUGAGACCCGGUCCAGACUCCUACGGGAGGCAGCAGUGGGGAAUAUUGGAAAAUGGGCGCAAGCCUGAUCCAGCCAUACCGCGUGGGUGAAGAAGGCCUUCGGGUUGUAAAGCCCUUUUGUUGGGAAAGAAAAGCAGCAGGUUAAUACCCCGCUGUUCUGACGGUACCCAAAGAAUAAGCACCGGCUAACUUCGU